CCUGAGACAAGGCUGAGUAUAGCCCACAAAGAACUCCGCCAUGGCACAACCCAAGGGGGGGCGCCAUCCCAGACAGGAUGACCACAUCAGUGAAUCAACCCACUCAGGUGACGCACCCCUUCCAGGGACGGCAAGAGAGAGCCCCAGGUUACCUCGGUGGAAGCUCCAGUUGGAGCAGUUGGAUGGUCGACCACUGAAAGCACUGACGCCCUACACUUCAGUAAAGCCCAAUGGACAAAGACCAUCGACUGUCCAAGCCCCCCAGGAGGUAUCCCAUCUACCAGAACCAGUGAGUUUGGAUCAGUCUGAUUCUCUGUGCUCUGAGUUGGAGGGGGACCAGCUUGAGGACCUAGGAGUUCUGUCCAACGCCCAGACCCACCUGAUGUCCUCCAUGAUCUGAUGUCCAGGACCUAGGGGUUCUGUCCAACGCCCAGACCCACCUGAUGUCCUCCGUUACAUGUUCUCCAGGACCUAGGGGUUCUACCCAACACCCACCUGAUGUCCUCCGUUACCUGUUCUCCAGGACCUAGGGGUUCUACCCAACACCCAGACCCAACUAGUUUAAAACAGAGAUUGUCGCAGAAAUCAGCCUUGUUUUCAUAGCAGGAAUUAAGAGAACGUAAUUUAGGUUGUUAAGAUCUCCAAAAUUCUAAUUGUUAGGUCAUCACACCGUUGAUAUAGCAACAGAUGCUAAUAGUUUAUCGAAUCCCAUUGUGAUGCGGGGGGCACUGUUUGUCUGGGGUUAUUUGGUAUGACAGACCCUUGAACCCAGCCUUCUUUCCCUCUUGUCAAGUCUUCUGUAUAAAAGGACAGUUUCUCCCUGGCAGUCUGAUCCUGCGGUAUCCUGCGGUAUCCUGCGGUAUCCUGCGGUAUCAGACUCUUUGAUGUGGAGCUUCUUCUCGUCCAGAAGCGUGUUCCCCUCGGCCAUUUUCCAGACGAUGUCCCUGUAAUGGCGCAUUGUGAAGAGCAGGAAGACAUUGCGAGGGACAUGUCGUCUUCAGUAAGGCUUGGAUAUUCUGUCUUUCUGUCCUGUUCUUCCCAUUCAACUUGACAAAAAAAAAAAAACGAACUCUAAACUUACCAUUUUGUAGCUAAAACCAGUUCUAGUUAGUUUCUUGCUGCGUUGAGUGUCUCACAGUGACGCCAUCUUGGGCCCCCCUAGUAUCAGUUCAUCAGAAAACGUCUCGUAUGUUCUUUUAUGUCCGUGCUUCUACACCUGCAUUGCUUGUUGUUUGGGGUUUUAGGCUGGGUUUCUGUACAGCACUUUGAGACUUAGGCUGAUGUAAGAAGGGCUUUAUAAAUACAUUUGAUUUGAUUUGAUAUUACAUUUCUGAUCACAAUAACAACCAAAAACAACCAUCACCACACGUAUAUUUUCUCUGAAGAAACAUAACAUUCACAAACACUAUUGUGUUAUUGACCAUACGUUUGUUUAUGUGUAAAACUCUGUUUUUGUUUUUUUGUCGCACUGCUUUGCUUUAUCUUGGCCAGGUCGCAGUUGUAAAUGAGAACUUGUUCUCAACUAGCCUACCUGGUUAAAUAAAUUGUGAAAUAUAUAAUUUAAAAAAAAUCUACACAUGAAUUGAGUUUCAAAAGUUAAAGUACCUAAAAUAAACACAAAUAAAGUCAGGGGUUACGAAUGUAUGAACCUAUGGUAGAGUUGAAAACCUACUUGUAUGAACCUAUGGUAGAGUUGAAAACCUACUGUGUUUUUUUGUUAUUGACUAAUUCUAGAGAUUUUAUUCAAUAUUGGAUUGUAAGUAAAACUAUAUUGCAUUUGGGGACAGAUUUGAGGUAUUUGUUUUAGUGUAUAGAGAAUAUGAAGAAAGUAAAGACUAAUUCAUUCGUUUUCAUUUGAAUAAUAACAUACUACAUCUUUCAUUGUAAAUACAUCGGUCUUAGUAACGAAAUUAAAAAUGGGAUUUCUUAAGUCCAAAAUAACC
Oncorhynchus tshawytscha (Chinook salmon) is the source of this 1943-nucleotide long non-coding RNA. The record is from Ensembl. Lineage: Eukaryota; Metazoa; Chordata; Actinopteri; Salmoniformes; Salmonidae.